This 914-nucleotide ribosomal RNA is filed under the name uncultured soil bacterium. RNAcentral's name for it is "partial small subunit ribosomal RNA". It matches the Rfam family "Bacterial small subunit ribosomal RNA", at positions 578 to 1502 of the family's 1533-position model. The record is from RNAcentral.
GAUUUGUAAGCGAACAUGUGUAAGCCUUCGCCUCAGCCUAGAAUUGCAUUUCGUAACUGACGACUAGAGUCUGUAGACGCGUAGAUUCCAGGCGUAGUGUGAAUGGAGACAUCGGAUGUAAUCCCGGUGGCGACGGCGGCCCUCGGACAUAGACUCAGCUCUGCACGAAAGCGUGCGGAGCAAACAGGAUUACAUCCCGUGGUAGUCCCAUCCGUAAACGAUGUCCACUAUGAGUUUGGUGUCUUGAACACUGGGCUCUCAAGCUAACGCAUUCAGUAGACCGCUUGGGGAGUGCGGUCGCAAGGUUAAAACUCAAAUGAACUGACGCGCGCCCGCACAACCGGUGGAGCAUGUGGUUUUAUUCGAUGCAACGUGAAGAACCUUACUUACUCUUGACAUCCACGGAAGUCUGCAGAGAUGCGGUUGUGCCUUCGGGAACCGUGAGACAGGUCCUGCAUGGCUGUCGUCAGCUCGUGUUGUGAAAUGUUGCGUUAAGUCCCGCAACGAGCGCAACCCCUAUCGUUAUUUGCCAGCACGUAAUGGUGGGAACUCUAGGGAGACUUCCGGUUAUAAACCGGAGGAAGGUGGGGACGACGUCAAGUCAUCAUGGCCCUUACGAGUAGGUCUUCACACGUGUUACAAUGGCGAGUACAGAGGGUUGCAGAGCCGCGAGGUGGAGCUAAUCUCACAAAGCUCGUAGUAGUCCGGAUUGGAGUCUGCAACUGGACUCCAUGAAGUCGGAAUCGCUAGUAAUCGAGGAUCAGAAUGCCACGGUGAAUACGUUCCCGGGCCUUGUACACACCGCCCGUCACACCAUGGGAGUGGUCUGCAAAAGAAGUGGGUAGCUUAACCUUCGGGGGGGCGCUCACCACUUUGUGGUCCAUGACAGGGGCGAAGUCGUAACAAGGUAACCA